GAGCUUGUGUGGAUUACGUAAGCG
This 24-nucleotide non-coding RNA is filed under the name Arabidopsis thaliana (thale cress). Lineage: Eukaryota; Viridiplantae; Streptophyta; Magnoliopsida; Brassicales; Brassicaceae. The record is from RNAcentral.